GAUCAAGCCACUAAGGGCGCAUGGUGGAUGUCUUGGCGUCGAGAGGCGAUGAAGGACGUUGGAGCCUGCGAUAAGCCUAGAGGAGCUGGCAACCGAGCUGUGAUCCUAGGAUGUCCGAAUGGGGAAACCCGGCACAUUUGUGUCAUCGUGCGCUGAAUGCAUAGGCGUACGAAGCGAACCUGGAGAACUGAAACAUCUCAGUACCCAGAGGAAAGGAAAGCAACAGCGACUCCGUAAGUAGCGGCGAGCGAAAGCGGAUUAACCAGUACGCGCGACGAACCGGUUGGAAAACCGGGCCAGAGAAGGUGACGGCCCUGUAGCCGCGUAGCUGGUGAGGCCUAGAGUAAUGUCGGUCUCGUGAAACCCGGCAUGAAGAUGGGGGGUCCACCCUCCAAGCCUAAGUACUCCUCGACGACCGAUAGUGAAUCAGUAAGGCGACUGAAUGAUGACAAGCACCCCUACACGGGGAGUGAAAGAGUACCUGAAACCAUGCGCUUACACAGCGGUCGGAGCCCCUUCGGGGGUGACGGCGUGCCUUUUGCAUAAUGAGCCGGCGAGUUGCUCUGUACGGCGAGGCUAAGGACUGACGGUCCGGAGCCGGAGCGAAAGCGAGUCUGAAUAGGGCGCAUAGUCGUACGGGGCAGACGCGAAACCUUGUGAUCUACCCAUGGCCAGGUUGAAGAGCGGGUAACACCGCUUGGAGGACCGAACCCGUUAACGUUGAAAAGUUAUGGGAUGAGCUGUGGGGAGGAGUUAAAGUCUAAUCAAACUGGGAGAUAGCUCGUUCUCUCCGAAAUAUCUUUAGGGAUAGCCUCACAGUGCAAGCGAUGGAGGUAGAGCUACUGGAUGGCGUUGGGGGCCUACCCGGCUACCCGCGCCAACCAAACUCCGAAUGCCAUCGCCCAAGUUGUGGGAGUCAGUCCACGAGUGACAAUAUCCGUGGACAAAAGGAGAACAAUCCAGACCACCGGCUAAGGCCCCGAAUCUCUGCUCAGUUCGAAAGGAAGUUGAAGUGCCGUGACAGCCAGGAUGUUGGCUUAGAAGCAGCCACCAUUUAAAGAGUGCGUAACAGCUCACUGGUCGAGGACUUCAGCGCCGAUAAUGAUCGGGAAUAAGCAGAGAGCCGAAGCCGUGGACUCACUUUGUGAGUGGUAGGAGAGCGUUCCUGUCGGCGUCGAAGCGGUUCCGGAAGGAUCCGUGGAGCGUCAGGAAGUGAAUAUGCCGGCUUGAGUAACGAUAAUGCAGGUGAGAAUCCUGCACGCCGAAAGCCCAAGGUUUCCUGGGGAAGGUAAAUCCGCCCAGGGUUAGCCGGAUCCUAAGGCGAGGCCGAAAGGCGUAGUCGAUGGACAUCAGGUAAAUAUUCCUGAGCCUAUGUGGAGAUCAAUCCACGGUGCGAAUCCCAAAGUUCCGCAGAAGCGCUAGCUGUCUGAGGCCUUCGAGGCCGACGCGGGGUAGAGGGGUUCCGAGAAAAGCCGUGGUGGCGAAGCAUGGUCCGUACCAAAACUGACACAGGUGGGCGUGGUGAAUAACCUAAGGCGCUCGAGAGAACGGUCGUGAAGGAACUAGGCAAAUUGACCCCGUAAGUUCGCGAUAAGGGGGCCCUACCCGUAAGGGAGGGCGCAGAGAAAAGGCUCUGGGAACUGUUUAUCAAAAACACAGCACUGUGCUAACUCGUAAGAGGACGUAUACAGUGUGACGCUUGCCCAAUGCCGGAAUGUCACGGAAGCGGGUUAGCUUCGGCGAAGCUCGCGACCCAAGCACCGGUCAAUGGCGGCCGUAACUAUGACGGUCCUAAGGUAGCGAAGUUCCUUGUCGGGUAAGUUCCGACGCGCAUGAAU
This 1838-nucleotide ribosomal RNA is filed under the name Phycisphaerales bacterium. RNAcentral describes it as "partial 23S ribosomal RNA". It matches the Rfam family "Bacterial large subunit ribosomal RNA", at positions 1 to 1997 of the family's 2925-position model. Lineage: Bacteria; Pseudomonadati; Planctomycetota; Phycisphaerae; Phycisphaerales. The record is from RNAcentral.